RNAcentral lists this ribosomal RNA (441 nucleotides) under uncultured bacterium. RNAcentral's name for it is "bacterial SSU rRNA". It matches the Rfam family "Bacterial small subunit ribosomal RNA", at positions 338 to 795 of the family's 1533-position model. The record is from RNAcentral.
CCUACGGGGGGCAGCAGUGAGGAAUAUUGCACAAUGGGGGAAACCCUGAUGCAGCAACGCCGCGUGAGCGAAGAAGGCCUUCGGGUCGUAAAGCUCUUUUCUGGGGGAUGAGGAAGGACAGUACCCCAGGAACAAGUCUCGGCUAACUACGUGCCAGCAGCCGCGGUAAGACGUAGGAGGCAAGCGUUAUCCGGAUUUAUUGGGCGUAAAGGGCAAGUAGGCGGUUCUCAAAGUUGGGCGUGACAUCUCCCGGCUCAACCGGGAGGGUGCGUUCAAAACUAGAGGACUAGAGGGCAGGAGAGGGAAGUGGAAUUCCCAGUGUAGCGGUGGAAUGCUCAGAUAUUGGGAAGAACACCAGUGGCGAAGGCGGCUUCCUGGCCUGCACCUGACGCUGAGAGGCGAAAGCUAGGGUAGCAAACGGGCUUAGAUACCCCUGUAGUC